AUUUGUUGAGUCUAGUUGGUUAGGAUUUUUGGCUCUCACCCGAGGGACCAUGGUUCAAAUCCUGGUAAUGGAAUGUAUUUUUGGUUAUUUUUUCACAAACGACAUAAUUAUAUGAGGUAGACAUGAUAAAAAUAAUCAUAACAAAAUAAUCAAAAAUUUGUUGAGUCUAGUUGGUUAGGAUUUUUGGCUCUCACCCGAGGGACCAUGGUUCAAAUCCUGGUAAUGGAAUG
Molecule: long non-coding RNA, 230 nt
Filed under: Rosa chinensis
Lineage: Eukaryota; Viridiplantae; Streptophyta; Magnoliopsida; Rosales; Rosaceae
Description: sRNA RchiOBHm_Chr2g0115951
Source: RNAcentral